RNAcentral lists this ribosomal RNA (1303 nucleotides) under Unio crassus. RNAcentral describes it as "16S ribosomal RNA". The stretch from base 606 to 1303 matches the Rfam family "Archaeal large subunit ribosomal RNA", at positions 1423 to 2827 of the family's 2987-position model. Lineage: Eukaryota; Metazoa; Mollusca; Bivalvia; Unionida; Unionidae. The record is from RNAcentral.
AGCCUAUAUAACAAAACCAUAAACUUUACUAAUUAAAGAAAAAUUUCAUAAUAUAUAGUAUUUUUUAAAAAAUGUGAUUUAACUUAUAACCGCAAGGAUUAAUACUUUAGGCCUUUAAAGAACUGAUAACCCCACAUCCCUUUUGCAUCAUGGAGAAGCAACAUAAAUAUAAUAAAUUAGGCUCCCGAAUGAUUAUGAGCUACUAACCCUUAAAAAUCAAUGUUUCAUAAUUGAUAAAGUAACUUUUAGUAGAAGUAAUAAGCCUUUCAUAUAAUCAUAUAGCUGGUUUUUCUUUAAAAGCAUCAAAGUGCUGACUUGUAGUAUUACACAUUAUGUUUUUAUGACUACAAAGUUUAAUUUAUUGAGGAUAAGCUCAAUAAAAACUCAAAAAUACUUUAUCACUUAACUUUCCAAGUAGGCUUAAAAGCAGCCAUCUAAUAACGUUUUAGUUACUAAUUCCAAACACUACUUAAUAUUCAUAUAUUAUUAUUUUAGUAUUUAAAGAAACUUAACACAAAACUUUUCAUGUUAAUAAACAGGCAUUCUAUUAGUAUUAACGUAGUUAUUAUUUCAUGACACUUAAAAAAUUUUGAAUCACAAUAAUUACUCUACUCACAAAAUUACAUAAAGCGAACUCGGCAAAUAAAUUCCCUGCCUGUUUACCAAAAACAUCGUCUUUUGAGUUCUUUUAUAAAAGAUAAUGCCUGCCCAGUGAAAAUUUUAAACGGCCGCGUUAGCGUGAGCGUGCUAAGGUAGCGUAAUAAUUAGCCUUUUAAUUGGAGGCCAGUGAAUGGCAAGACUAGGAAUAUCUGUACUUUAUGUAUAAAAAAAACUUUUCUUCUAAGUGAAAAGACUUAGAUAACAAAGGAAGACGAAAAGACCCCGCGGAACUUCACCUUUUCUUAUACCUCUGCGUGCCAAGCUUAAAAGUAUACAAGGUUUGAUUGGGGCAAUCUUGGAACCAAUAAAGCUUCCAAACUUCCGUAUAAAGCUAUACAAAAUUUAUUAAGGACCAAAAAGUAGUUACCCCGGGGAUAACAGCGUAAUCCAACUUAAGAGUACACAUCGAAAGUUGGGUUUGCGACCUCGAUGUUGGCUUAAGGACAUCCACAUAAGUGCAACCGCUAUGAUAGGAUAGUCUGUUCGACUAUUGUACCCUUACAUGAGCUGAGUUAAGACCGGCGCAAGCUAGGUUGGUUUCUAUCUCCUUUAACAUAUAAAUCUUCUUGAUUGUACGAAAGGACCCCAAGAGAUGCAUUUAACAAUAGCAUUUAUUAAACCAAUAUUUAACCUAAACCAUCAU